RNAcentral lists this unclassified non-coding RNA (424 nucleotides) under Hevea brasiliensis (rubber tree). The record is from RNAcentral. Lineage: Eukaryota; Viridiplantae; Streptophyta; Magnoliopsida; Malpighiales; Euphorbiaceae.
AACAAAAAUAAAACAUAUGAAUAACAAAUCCUUCAAUUAAAGAAAUCCACACAAAUAGUACCAUAACCCUCAUAGAUUAGUCGCACGACCAAUGACAAUGGCACAGCUACAAUUAAGUCAAGCCGAUCUUUGAGCAGCUCAGACUCACCUUGUAAGAUUUUUCAUUGUGCUCGAACUCAAGCGAGUUCAUUUUAAUUUUAUUUGAUUCAACCUCAGCCGACAUAUAGUUCACUUAUCAAACUUGCAAGCUCGACUCAUAUUUUGCAAUUUAUCAAGCUUAGAAAAUCAACUUACAUUUAGCUCGACUGAUUAUUAAGUUUAAGGAACCCAGAACAAACUCAUAAUUACAUUUAUUAAUUAUUCUCUAAAAAAUUUAUAUUAAUUUUUAUCAUGUUUAUCUAAAUAGGUCAAAUAAAUCAAAAUA